RNAcentral lists this ribosomal RNA (303 nucleotides) under uncultured bacterium. Its description in RNAcentral is "partial 16S ribosomal RNA". It matches the Rfam family "Bacterial small subunit ribosomal RNA", at positions 507 to 809 of the family's 1533-position model. The record is from RNAcentral.
AGCAGCCGCCGCGGUAAUACGUAGGUGGCAAGCGUUGUCCGGAAUUAUUGGGCGUAAAGGGCUCGCAGGCGGUUUCUUAAGUCUGAUGUGAAAGCCCCCGGCUCAACCGUGGAGGGUCAUUGGAAACUGGGAAACUUGAGUGCAGAAGAGGAGAGUGGAAUUCCACGUGUAGCGGUGAAAUGCGUAGAGAUGUGGAGGAACACCAGUGGCGAAGGCGACUCUCUGGUCUGUAACUGACGCUGAGGAGCGAAAGCGUGGGGAGCGAACAGGAUUAGAUACCCCUGUAGUCCCUGUCUCUUAUAA